This 1523-nucleotide ribosomal RNA is filed under the name Klebsiella pneumoniae. Its description in RNAcentral is "bacterial SSU rRNA". It matches the Rfam family "Bacterial small subunit ribosomal RNA". The record is from RNAcentral. Lineage: Bacteria; Pseudomonadati; Pseudomonadota; Gammaproteobacteria; Enterobacterales; Enterobacteriaceae.
AGAGUUUGAUCAUGGCUCAGAUUGAACGCUGGCGGCAGGCCUAACACAUGCAAGUCGAGCGGUAGCACAGAGAGCUUGCUCUCGGGUGACGAGCGGCGGACGGGUGAGUAAUGUCUGGGAAACUGCCUGAUGGAGGGGGAUAACUACUGGAAACGGUAGCUAAUACCGCAUAACGUCGCAAGACCAAAGUGGGGGACCUUCGGGCCUCAUGCCAUCAGAUGUGCCCAGAUGGGAUUAGCUAGUAGGUGGGGUAACGGCUCACCUAGGCGACGAUCCCUAGCUGGUCUGAGAGGAUGACCAGCCACACUGGAACUGAGACACGGUCCAGACUCCUACGGGAGGCAGCAGUGGGGAAUAUUGCACAAUGGGCGCAAGCCUGAUGCAGCCAUGCCGCGUGUGUGAAGAAGGCCUUCGGGUUGUAAAGCACUUUCAGCGGGGAGGAAGGCGNNNNNNNNNNNNNNCGAUUGACGUUACCCGCAGAAGAAGCACCGGCUAACUCCGUGCCAGCAGCCGCGGUAAUACGGAGGGUGCAAGCGUUAAUCGGAAUUACUGGGCGUAAAGCGCACGCAGGCGGUCUGUCAAGUCGGAUGUGAAAUCCCCGGGCUCAACCUGGGAACUGCAUUCGAAACUGGCAGGCUAGAGUCUUGUAGAGGGGGGUAGAAUUCCAGGUGUAGCGGUGAAAUGCGUAGAGAUCUGGAGGAAUACCGGUGGCGAAGGCGGCCCCCUGGACAAAGACUGACGCUCAGGUGCGAAAGCGUGGGGAGCAAACAGGAUUAGAUACCCUGGUAGUCCACGCCGUAAACGAUGUCGAUUUGGAGGUUGUGCCCUUGAGGCGUGGCUUCCGGAGCUAACGCGUUAAAUCGACCGCCUGGGGAGUACGGCCGCAAGGUUAAAACUCAAAUGAAUUGACGGGGGCCCGCACAAGCGGUGGAGCAUGUGGUUUAAUUCGAUGCAACGCGAAGAACCUUACCUGGUCUUGACAUCCACAGAACUUUCCAGAGAUGGAUUGGUGCCUUCGGGAACUGUGAGACAGGUGCUGCAUGGCUGUCGUCAGCUCGUGUUGUGAAAUGUUGGGUUAAGUCCCGCAACGAGCGCAACCCUUAUCCUUUGUUGCCAGCGGUUAGGCCGGGAACUCAAAGGAGACUGCCAGUGAUAAACUGGAGGAAGGUGGGGAUGACGUCAAGUCAUCAUGGCCCUUACGACCAGGGCUACACACGUGCUACAAUGGCAUAUACAAAGAGAAGCGACCUCGCGAGAGCAAGCGGACCUCAUAAAGUAUGUCGUAGUCCGGAUUGGAGUCUGCAACUCGACUCCAUGAAGUCGGAAUCGCUAGUAAUCGUAGAUCAGAAUGCUACGGUGAAUACGUUCCCGGGCCUUGUACACACCGCCCGUCACACCAUGGGAGUGGGUUGCAAAAGAAGUAGGUAGCUUAACCUUCGGGAGGGCGCUUACCACUUUGUGAUUCAUGACUGGGGUGAAGUCGUAACAAGGUAACCGUAGGGGAACCUGCGGUUGGAUCACCU